UAGGAUAUGGUGUAAUUAGGUAGCACGAAGAUUUUU
This 36-nucleotide transfer RNA is filed under the name Ursus arctos (brown bear). RNAcentral describes it as "partial tRNA-Gln". Lineage: Eukaryota; Metazoa; Chordata; Mammalia; Carnivora; Ursidae. RNAcentral also lists the same sequence under 1 other name. The record is from RNAcentral.